Camelus dromedarius (Arabian camel) is the source of this 134-nucleotide small nucleolar RNA. Its record names the gene SNORA70. It matches the Rfam family "Small nucleolar RNA SNORA70". Rfam says of the family: snoRNA U70 seems to be exclusive to mammals and is a member of the H/ACA class of snoRNA which contain H (ANANNA) and ACA box motifs. H/ACA box snoRNAs are involved in the conversion of uridines to pseudouridines (5-ribosyluracil) a constituent of structural RNAs (transfer, ribosomal, small nuclear, and small nucleolar). Lineage: Eukaryota; Metazoa; Chordata; Mammalia; Artiodactyla; Camelidae. The record is from Ensembl.
CUUCAUUUGAUUAAGCUGAUUCACACGCCUCUCUGAUGGGUACUCAGUGUGCAGUGCCUGCAAAAAGCUGAUUCCCUGGUUGUGUAUGCAGCUUAAUCUUUUAUAUAUUGCUCUAAAGGACCUAGGAAACAUCU